Molecule: non-coding RNA, 21 nt
Organism: Caenorhabditis elegans
Lineage: Eukaryota; Metazoa; Nematoda; Chromadorea; Rhabditida; Rhabditidae
Source: Ensembl
UAACGCUUGGUUAUGGUUAUA